Molecule: long non-coding RNA, 444 nt
Filed under: Mytilus galloprovincialis (Mediterranean mussel)
Lineage: Eukaryota; Metazoa; Mollusca; Bivalvia; Mytilida; Mytilidae
Source: RNAcentral
GUUUAGGGGCAUCGUCACUUCCGUUCUAAUGUUGAGGGAGUGGUUGAAAACAGUUAAUGCUAUUUUGCAUGAAUUAUUCGGCAAAUUAAAUUCUCAUAAUUGACAAUCAGCACUGCUGUCAUUAGGGAAUUGUAAUUUUAAAGUACUUACAAAACAAAUAAGAUUUCUAGUUUAUCCUGCACAAUGAUGAUCACUAAAACGCUUGAUUAACGUUAAUAGUGCAGGGAUACAGGUGAUCCCCUCUAUCUGGUAAAUGAUGUCAUAAAGGCGUGCAUAAUUGGCAAGUUUUUUACAGUGACGGAUGAACUCGAGAGUGGCCUAUUGAAACCCUUCUCCUUUAGUUAUUUGAAAUGAAUGGAGGAUAUUAAAAAUUGUAAAAAAAGGCAUUAACUGAAAGAAAAACAUUGCUUGUUUAUGGUCAAAUUUAGUUGAAUCGUCUCAAUU